RNAcentral lists this ribosomal RNA (253 nucleotides) under uncultured bacterium. RNAcentral describes it as "partial 16S ribosomal RNA". It matches the Rfam family "Bacterial small subunit ribosomal RNA", at positions 524 to 776 of the family's 1533-position model. The record is from RNAcentral.
UACGGAGGGUGCAAGCGUUAUCCGGAUUCACUGGGUUUAAAGGGUGCGUAGGUGGGUCUGUAAGUCAGUGGUGAAAGCCCCGAGCUCAACUUGGGAACUGCCAUUGAUACUGCUGAUCUUGAGUAUGGUUGAGGUGGGCGGAAUAUGACAUGUAGCGGUGAAAUGCAUAGAUAUGUCAUAGAACACCGAUUGCGAAGGCAGCUGACGAAACUAUUAUUGACGCUGAUGCACGAAAGUGCGGGGAUCAAACAGG